Molecule: ribosomal RNA, 552 nt
Filed under: uncultured bacterium
Lineage: Bacteria
Description: bacterial SSU rRNA
Rfam family: Bacterial small subunit ribosomal RNA
Source: RNAcentral
UGGGGAAUAUUGGACAAUGGGGGCAACCCUGAUCCAGCGAUGCCGCGUGUGUGAAGAAGGCCUGAGGGUUGUAAAAGCACUUUUAGUGGGGAGGAUAAGUAUAUGGUUAAUAGCCAUGUAUUCAGACGUUACCCACCAUAAACAGCACCGGCUAACUCCGUGCCAGCAGCCGCGGUAAUACGGGGGGUGCAAGCGUUAAUCGGAGUUAUUGGGCGUAAAGGGUGCGUAGGUGGUUCAUUAAGUUAUGUGGGAAAUUCCUGGGCUCAACCUAGGAGUGUCGGAUGAUACUGGUGAACUUGAGUAUAGUAGAGGGUAGUGGAAUUUCCGGUGUAGCGGUGAAAUGCGUAGAGAUCGGAAGGAACACCAGUGGCGAAGGCGGCUACCUGGACUAAUACUGACACUGAGGCACGAAAGCGUGGGGAGCAAACAGGAUUAGAUACCCUGGUAGUCCACGCUGUAAACGAUGUCAACUAGCUGUUGGAUACUUAAAUGUAUUUAGUGGCGCAGCUAACGCGCUAAGUUGACCGCCUGGGGAGUACGAUCGCAAGAUUA